UUCGGAAUUUGCAUAAGUUCACGCCCAACCUUACCGAGGUUGGGCGGAAUGCGGCGUCUCGCGAGUUCGAAUCUCGUUUUCACGU
RNAcentral lists this transfer RNA (85 nucleotides) under Oceanimonas sp. MB9. RNAcentral's name for it is "tRNA-Gly". The record is from RNAcentral. Lineage: Bacteria; Pseudomonadati; Pseudomonadota; Gammaproteobacteria; Aeromonadales; Aeromonadaceae.